GGAGGAACUGGAGAGCAGACCUGUGUGCGCGCCCCGCUCUGCCACGUUCCCUGAGGGACACACUGCUUUGACCAGCCCCCACCCCAUCUCCUCUCCGCCAGUCCCCGGUGUCCACCCCAGCCCCGCUACCGAUGAAGCUCAAGCCAGGGUCCCCAUCACCUGCUUCACGGCCAUCCCUGCACUUGAGCUCAGGGGCUCAGGGUUGUGCUGACACGCCUGCCUGUCCACCCCUCACCGACACCUCUGCAGUCCUCCUCAGGGCCCAACAGGACCCCCAGGACCCCGCUCCCAUUCUGCCCUUGCUCCUGCCAACCUGUCUUCUCUAUGCCCAUGACUUUGGAACCCUCUGCCACAAGUGCCAGCCCCCACAUCUGUAGCCCCUGCAGGAACAAGCCCUAAUCUGGACUCAUUGCAAUGGCUCAGCUUCUCUUCCAACCUGUCCAUAAACCUCCAGGCAGAGAUCACAAAACUAACAGCUCUUUCUGCAAAUCUGGACUCUCUCCUGCACCUUCUUCACCGUCCAGGCCUCCCUGUCAUCCGUCCUGGGGACCUCAGAGAUCUCUUCAUUUCACAGGUGAAGACUUGGCUCAGAGAGGGCAGAGCCCCUGGGUCACACAGCCCGUCUCCAGUAGGGCUGGGGAAAAGAACCCAGGGCGCUCUUGUUGGCAGUGUUUUAAUGACUGGGGGGAGGGAGAGAAUGGCUAAUGAGGCUCUAGGGAUCAGCACAGCCAGCUGCUGGAGGUCCCAGAGGACGGGUGACUCAGCAGGAAUGGGGGAGUCUGAGGGGUUGACAGAGUGCCCAAUUCUCACCUCCUCCUGCACCUUCCAGAGAGACGGGCUGCAGGGAGUGAUUGAGUGGAUGAACAUGACUAGAGGGACCCAGUCUUCUCCUCAGCAGCUGCUUGAGGACAGUAUUAGCGGUCCCCUCAAUCCCCCCCCCAACACAUGCACACAUGCACUGACCUGCAGGGGCCAGAUCCCGGUGGACCCGGGGACACAGCUUCCAGGGGCUGUCUUGCCAUGUCCCUUCCCAGAUCUGCCUGGAUUCAUGCCAGGCCACCCUCCACAAUUUGCUGAGGGAGGCCCCAGAGUCCAGGGCACCCAGAGUGCUAACUAGCCCCUGGGGGUACAGGGAGAACAGCAUGCUGUGUGGGGGAUACUACUCUCUGCCCAUACCUAGGGCCCUGUGCACAGGCAGC
Molecule: long non-coding RNA, 1199 nt
Filed under: Homo sapiens (human)
Lineage: Eukaryota; Metazoa; Chordata; Mammalia; Primates; Hominidae
Description: non-protein coding lnc-DGCR6-6:32
Source: RNAcentral